Molecule: long non-coding RNA, 305 nt
Filed under: Brassica napus (rape)
Lineage: Eukaryota; Viridiplantae; Streptophyta; Magnoliopsida; Brassicales; Brassicaceae
Description: long non-coding RNA (BNAP_LNC021713)
Source: RNAcentral
UGCUGGGUACUGAUGGAGACACGACGGGCCUACCGGAACCACCGUUAGGUUUGUGUGGUGCAAGGAGCGAGCUCGGCGGUGGAGAAUAAGCUGGUGGUGAUGGUUGGAUUGGGGGAGAGUUGGUGGGGUCUGACGGUGGAGCCGGAGGUGAGUGGGUUGGUUCUGACGGUGGAGCAGGAGGAGAUUCCGGCGGUGGGGUUUCAGGGUUUGUUGAAGAAGAUGAUGGUGGAGGAGGAGGGGAUUGAACGUCUGGAGAUGGAGGAGGGUUGUUGGAUUCGUUUGGUGGAGCUGGUGGAGUAUCUGAA